RNAcentral lists this ribosomal RNA (439 nucleotides) under uncultured bacterium. Its description in RNAcentral is "partial 16S ribosomal RNA". It matches the Rfam family "Bacterial small subunit ribosomal RNA", at positions 339 to 795 of the family's 1533-position model. The record is from RNAcentral.
CUACGGGUUGCAGCAGUGGGGAAUAUUGGACAAUGGGCGCAAGCCUGAUCCAGCAAUGCCGCGUGAGUGAAGACGGCCUUAGGGUUGUAAAACUCUUUCGCUAGGGAAGAUAAUGACUGUACCUAGUAAAGAAGUCCCGGCUAACUCCGUGCCAGCAGCCGCGGUAAUACGGAGGGGACUGGCGUUGUUCGGAAUUACUGGGCGUAAAGAGUUCGUAGGCGGACUGACAAGUUAGAGGUGAAAUCCCAGGGCUCAACCCUGGAACUGCCUUUAAAACUGUCACUCUAGAGACCGGAAGAGGUUAGGGGAAUACCUAGUGUAGAGGUGAAAUUCGUAGAUAUUAGGUGGAACACCAGUGGCGAAGGCGAUCACCUGGCCAGAUACUGACGCUGAGGUGCGAAAGCGUGGGGAGCAAACAGGAUUAGAUACCCGUGUAGUC